CAGCCGCCGCGGGAAUACGUAGGUGGCAAGCGUUGUCCGGAAUUAUUGGGCGUAAAGGGCUCGCAGGCGGUUUCUUAAGUCUGAUGUGAAAGCCCCCGGCUCAACCGGGGAGGGUCAUUGGAAACUGGGAAACUUGAGUGCAGAAGAGGAGAGUGGAAUUCCACGUGUAGCGGUGAAAUGCGUAGAGAUGUGGAGGAACACCAGUGGCGAAGGCGGCUCACUGGUCCAUUACUGACGCUGAGGUGCGAAAGCGUGGGGAGCAAACGGGAUUAGAUACCCGCGUAGUCCCUGUCUCUUAUAA
This 301-nucleotide ribosomal RNA is filed under the name uncultured bacterium. RNAcentral describes it as "partial 16S ribosomal RNA". It matches the Rfam family "Bacterial small subunit ribosomal RNA", at positions 509 to 809 of the family's 1533-position model. The record is from RNAcentral.